Long non-coding RNA from Coregonus clupeaformis (lake whitefish), 1216 nucleotides. RefSeq lists it as uncharacterized. Lineage: Eukaryota; Metazoa; Chordata; Actinopteri; Salmoniformes; Salmonidae. The transcript has 4 exons. The record is from RefSeq and is a predicted model, not a curated record.
UUUCCUAUUCAGAAAGGGACUUUAUCUAUCUUCCUCUCAUUUCCUUCCCAACGUCUAAUGAAUUACAACCCUGGAUAAGUUUACACCAUAUUGCUGUUUUCUAAUCAAGCGCAGUCAGGUCAGAGAUAUUCAAGACAGUUGGCAUGCAUACAGCCAGUGAUCCUGAGAAGCUUUCUUCCUCCUUGCAGACCAUGGCUCUGCUUCACGUCUUUGUUAACAAUCCAACGACUGUUGUCUGGAAUAAGAACAGAAGAAUGUGGUCUCUAUAGCUUGAAAAGUGGAGAGAUAAAACGAAAUCCCCCCACAUAAAGAUAAGUUGAAAAAUACCCAUUCAUUAGUACUUAUAGGCAUCUGGCAUGUGACGGUACAGAGCUUAUAAAGAUUGUUGGUUAUAAUGUUAUUAACGUUGUAUUCUUGACAUCUCAGUAACCCUCUGUCUGUACAGUAUGACACUUUGCUGCAGAGAUCAAAAGGCUUUAAAGAACCACUUUGGCUUUGCAUAAUGGGUCCAGAACCUGCCAUUCAGGCAAUACUGUGCCUUAUUGUUCCAUUGUCAACCUCUCAAUAGGAUGAAUGAAUGUUUUGUACUGAGUGUGUGAAAUGCAGCUCAAUAAUGUGACAUUUAUUGAAAACAUAAGAAUAGUUAAAUUGGCAAAAUAACUCUCUGAAGUGGGCACGUGUUUGCAGUGGAGCCAUAUUAUGUUGUAAUCUAUUUUCAGUAUCUGCUCUAUGCAUCAAUAGUACUGUAGCUCUGAAACAUACCUGCUGUGUACAUGCCUCAGGUUUUUGGCAGUUCCAUAUACUCCCAUAUGGCUCCUCAACAAGGAGCUGACAUGAGCUGUGUUUAUCAGGUGUAAGGAGGAAAAGUGACGAUGGCUUAUAAAACGCAGGGCCCGGCCCAAAUGGAACAGAAAACGCAGCCGUAUGGAAUUUGGAGGACAUUGGACAGAUUUCACGUGUUUUACUCUUUUUCUAGUCUCCAGGUGUAUCAGAAGUGGAGAGGUGGAAUUUUUCAUGGUAUUCUGGAAUGUGGGAUAAGACAUGGUCCCAUGACAUGGAGGAGAACAGCAAGGAGAUUUCCUGGACCCCUCUUUGAAUGGGUUGAUGCUGGUCCUGCUGGAGCUGAUGAUCUGAACCAGUCUGUCUGCCACCUAGCUCCCCCUCCUCCAAACACAACCACUGCCCAUGUCCUGAUCCCAGUGGUCCAGCUUGUCUG